RNAcentral lists this ribosomal RNA (429 nucleotides) under uncultured prokaryote. Its description in RNAcentral is "bacterial SSU rRNA". It matches the Rfam family "Bacterial small subunit ribosomal RNA", at positions 355 to 796 of the family's 1533-position model. The record is from RNAcentral.
UCGAGAAUCUUCGGCAAUGGGCGCAAGCCUGACCGAGCGACGCCGCGUGUGCGAUGAAGGCCUUCGGGUUGUAAAGCACUGUCGAGGGGAAGAAAGGGAAACUUGAUCGACCCCUGGAGGAAGCACGGGCUAAGUUCGUGCCAGCAGCCGCGGUAAGACGAACCGUGCGAACGUUGUUCGGAAUCACUGGGCUUAAAGGGCGCGUAGGCGGUCGGCCAAGUCAGGGGUGAAAUCUUUCGGCUCAACCGGAAAAGUGCCCUUGAUACUGGUCGGCUAGAGUGAGGUAGGGGCACGCGGAACUUCCAGUGGAGCGGUGAAAUGCGUUGAUAUUGGAAGGAACGCCGGUGGCGAAAGCGGCGUGCUGGACCUCUUCUGACGCUGAGGCGCGAAAGCCAGGGGAGCAAACGGGAUUAGAUACCCCCGUAGUCC